GGCGAGCAGCACUGAACUUGAAUUAAUCAAAUGGCAUAAGGGAGCUUUCCUUUGUUAGAAAUCCACAGACAACAUACUGGAACUUCCAAACCAAAGAAAUGCAACAUGAGAAGGAGCUUUUUUCGUUCGCUAUGUGCUGACUGGAUGCGUACUCGCGUGAUUGAUCGAUGGACGGGGGAAUUUCGUGAAUGACGAGACCGGCCUAACCUAAAGUAAAGGCUCUUCCCUCUCUUGAUGGCGAAUCUUGAUUGACUGACACUAGGAACCGAUUCGGAG
Molecule: unclassified non-coding RNA, 276 nt
Filed under: Hevea brasiliensis (rubber tree)
Lineage: Eukaryota; Viridiplantae; Streptophyta; Magnoliopsida; Malpighiales; Euphorbiaceae
Source: RNAcentral